AGCUCCAACAGCGUAUAUUAAAGUUGCUGCAGUUAAAACGCUCGUAGUUGUUGUCCAACUAUCGGUCGCAUUUCUUAGGAUUCGCGUCCAAUUAGUUUAGCGGGAGUCCCUCCCGCCAAAACCUUGAGGAAAGAUUAGUGUUCCAAACAAUCACAUUUUGACCUCCCCAGCAUGGUAUUUAACCAGAGCGAAGAAGAUGCUUGCCACAUCUUCAUCUUACUAAAUAGAAAUUCAAGGGGGUAUACGUACUCUAAUGUCAGAGGUGAAAUUCCUGGAUUUUUGGAAGACGAUCAAUUGCGAAAGCAUUCACCAAACGACUUUUCU
Molecule: ribosomal RNA, 324 nt
Filed under: uncultured eukaryote
Lineage: Eukaryota
Description: SSU rRNA
Rfam family: Eukaryotic small subunit ribosomal RNA
Source: RNAcentral